This 253-nucleotide ribosomal RNA is filed under the name uncultured bacterium. Its description in RNAcentral is "partial 16S ribosomal RNA". It matches the Rfam family "Bacterial small subunit ribosomal RNA", at positions 524 to 776 of the family's 1533-position model. The record is from RNAcentral.
UACAGAGGGUGCGAGCGUUAAUCGGAAUUACUGGGCGUAAAGCGUGCGUAGACGGCUAUCUAAGUCGGGUGUGGAAGCCCCGGGCUCAACCUGGGAAUUGCAUUCGAGACUGAAUAGCUAGGGUACGGUAGAGGGAAGUGGAAUUUCCGGUGUAGCGGUGAAAUGCGUAGAUAUCGGAAGGAACAUCAGUGGCGAAAGCGACUUCCUGGACCAGUACCGACGUUCAGGCACGAAAGCGUGGGGAGCAAACAGG